RNAcentral lists this ribosomal RNA (465 nucleotides) under uncultured bacterium. Its description in RNAcentral is "partial 16S ribosomal RNA". It matches the Rfam family "Bacterial small subunit ribosomal RNA", at positions 28 to 507 of the family's 1533-position model. The record is from RNAcentral.
GACGAACGCUGGCGGCGUGCUUAACACAUGCCAGUCGAACGGAAGGGCCCUGCUUGCAGGGUACUCGAGUGGCGAACGGGUGAGUAACACGUGGGUGAUCUGCCCUCCACUUCGGGAUAAGCCUGGGAAACUGGGUCUAAUACCGGAUAGGAGCCAUUUUUAGUGUGAUGGUUGGAAAGUUUUUUGGGUGUAGGAUGAGCGCGCGGCCUAUUAGCUUGUUGGUGGGGUAAUGGCCUACCAAGGCGGCGAAGGGUAGCCGGCCCGAGGGGGUGGACGGCCACAAUGGGGCCGGAGUACGGCCCAGGCUCCUACGGGAGGCAGCAGGGGGGAAUAUUGGACAAUGGGCGCAAGCCUGAUGCAGCGACGCCGCGUGGGGGAAGACGGCCUUCGGGUUGGAAACCCGUUUCGCUAGGGACGGAGCUUUUUGUGACGGUACCUAGAAAAGAAGCACCGGCUAACUACGUG